UACAGAGGUCCCAAGCGUUGUUCGGAUUCACUGGGCGUAAAGGGUGCGUAGGUGGUGCGGUAAGUCGGAUGUGAAAGCUCGGAGCUCAACUCCGAAAUGGCAUUGGAAACUACCUCGCUAGAGGAUCGGAGGGGAGACUGGAAUUCUCGGUGUAGCAGUGAAAUGCGUAGAUAUCGAGAGGAACACCAGUGGCGAAGGCGAGUCUCUGGACGAUUCCUGACGCUGAGGCACGAAAGCCAGGGGAGCAAACGGG
RNAcentral lists this ribosomal RNA (253 nucleotides) under uncultured bacterium. RNAcentral's name for it is "partial 16S ribosomal RNA". It matches the Rfam family "Bacterial small subunit ribosomal RNA", at positions 524 to 776 of the family's 1533-position model. The record is from RNAcentral.